AUGGAGAACGCGGCGUCCAUCGUGAGCAAGUUCGGGCAGGCGCUGGUGGAGGAGCUCCAGGAGAUCCGCGGGGUCGGCAACAAGAUCGUCCACCUCAGGGACGAGCUGUCCUCCAUGAACGCCGUGCUCCGCAUGCUGGCCGAGGCCGACGACGACUGCGUCGAUCACCUCGUCCGAGAGUGGACGAAACAGGUGCGCGAGCUUGCUUCCGACGCCGAGGACUGUGUGGAUAUCUACAAGCUCCGCGUCAGGCGCCCUCUGCCACGACUGCCCGUCGACCCCGGCGCGCCGUUCAACUGCGCCAGGCGUUUACUCGGGCACGCCAGGCUCCUACCUGCCAUUGUCCGGCAUCAGUUUUUGAAGCUUUACUUGAAGCGUUGCCUCGCCGCCGAUCUGCCAGAACUCCUCGAUCGGAUGGUCAUCAUCAACGAACGGCGCGCUCGUUACGGCGUCGACCAGGAGGCACUACGCAGAUCGGCCACCUUUGCCACUGUGUCACCGGCCACCGUGUCUGCCCGUGCACUUCGCCCGUCAAACGACCACGACCAGUUCAUCGGCCUGACGGAUCAGGUCAACGCCCUGGCCGACAAAUUGAGGUCAGGGGAUGACAAAGAUAUGAAGGUCUUCUCCAUCGUUGGGUUUGGAGGGCUCGGAAAAACUACGCUCGCCAUGGAAGUGUGUCGGGAGCUAGAGGUGGACUUCCCACACCAAGCCCAAGCGUCCGUGUCCCAGGCAUUUGAUGGUGGAAAGGACCUGGAGGGAUUGCUUAAGCGCAUGCUUCAUCAGAUGGCGAAGCAGAAAUCCGAUAACAAGGAUGGCAUCAAGGAAGAAGACGUUGCUGGCAUCGACGGUAUGGAUGUGCCCGGGCUGACCGGCAAGCUCCAAGAUCUUCUCCGUGACAAGAGGUACCUCAUAGUGAUCGAUGAUGUAUGGACCAUACCAGCAUGGGACGCUAUCCGCUCCAUAUUGCCAACUGACAAUAAAUACAAAAGCAGAAUAAUUGUGACGACUCGGGUGGACUCGGUGGCGAAAGCUUGCAGCUCAGUUAGUGCGGCUUUAAGGGACUAUUUUGUCCAUGAAAUGAAGCCGCUGGAAAAAGAAGUGUCUAAGCAGUUGUUCAUCAAUAGAGUGUUUGGCCCUGAGGGUGCCUGCCCCGAAGAACUGAAAUCCAGCAUGUUGAAUAUCUUGAGGAAGUGCGGUGGGUUGCCAUUGGCGAUUGUUAGCAUGGCCAGUCUUUUGGCUAGCUACAAGUCGCCAGGAAGCAAGGAUAUGUGGGACAAAAUAUGCAACUCCAUCGGUUCUCAACUGGAGAGCAACCCUACCUUGGAAGGGAUGAGGCAGAUAGUUACACUCAGUUACAGCCACCUGCCUCACCAUCUCAAGACUUGCAUGAUGUAUCUCAGUAUUUUUCCAGAGGACUAUGAAAUCAAGAAGAAACGGCUACUAAGUAGAUGGAUAGCAGAAGGUCUGGUCGCCGAGAAGCGGGGGCUGACAUUGCUAGAGGUGGCAGAAUCCUACUUCGAUGAGUUGGUGAGUAGAAACAUGAUCGUCCCAGCCAACAUAAGCUAUGAUGGGAGGGUGAAGUCAUGCCGCGUGCACGAUAUGAUGCUCGAGGUUAUGGUGUCAAGGUCCAUGGAGGCAAACUUUGUGAGCCUGGUUGGAGGUGAACAGCACGAAGGAGAGUCGCUUGGCAAGAUCCGGCGGCUCUCUAUCCAAAGCAGUGGUGGGCCAAAGGACGAAAGGAGCAUGAAGCAUGUCCGGUCGCUCAGCACGUUUCAUCCUGAAGGGCACCACCAGCUGCUGGAGAGACUAGGCGAUUUUACCCUCCUACGGGUACUCGACCUUGAAGACUGCAAAGCCUUGCAAAACAAACACAUGAAGCAUGUGUGCCGGAUGUUUCUGCUCAGGUUCUUGAACUUGAACGGCACUGACAUCAGCAAGAUGCCAAAAAAGAUCGGCAAGCUUGUGCACUUGCAGACACUGAGCCUAAGGAACACACUUCUCCAUUACCUCCAUCAAUCCGUGACGGAGCUGGAGAAGCUCGAGUCCCUCUACUUCCUUAAGAGGGCGUCGUAUGAGGGCUGGAGGCUUCCCUGUGGACUAGGGAGAAUGAAGGCGCUUCGCGUGAUGGAUAAGAUGGCGCUCUAUGAUGAUGAUGAUUCUGACGCUGCCCGAGAGAUCGGCGAGUUGACGCAGUUGAGAAAGCUUAAUAUAACUGUCAACUGCUCCCAAGAGGUACUUCAAGUGCUCAUCACCGCCCUGAACAGGACAUAUUCCCUUCGACAACUCUCAAUCUUCGACCGCGGUGAUGGGAAGAUAAUGAACAUCCUCGGAGAGAUGACCUCGCCACCGCUGCUCCUCCGGUCCAUGAAGUUGCGGGGCGAAAUCGAUGGGAUGCCCGAGUGGAUUGGGUCACUCAUGCACGUUGUCAAGCUACAUAUCACAUUUAGAAUGCUUAGCUGCGACGAGAUACUUGGCAUCCUGUGUGAGUUGCCAAACCUACUGCGCCUCACCCUCGCGUACAGGAGCUGCAUCAAUGAUGCGCUAGUCAUAAGCGCCAAGUACCGAUUCCCAGUGCUCAAGCAGCUGAGUGUUGACAAACCCUUCUCUCGAGAAGAAAUCAUUUUUGAGCAAGGGUCCAUGGCAAUGCUCGAGAAGCUGGAGGUAGGAUUCGGUUAUCAGGAAACGAGCCUUUCCAGCAUCGAGCAUUUGCCAAGUCUAAAGGUGGUGGUGCUCGUUUGUUUCAGAUCCAACCGUACACUGAAUCAGACGGUGCUGCAGCUCAAGUUGGAGAGCGACCGACGCCCCGUGCCAAAUCAGUUCAAAGUUGUAGCAAGGUACGUCAGGGAAGGGUUAUAA
Molecule: ribosomal RNA, 2859 nt
Filed under: Triticum aestivum (bread wheat)
Lineage: Eukaryota; Viridiplantae; Streptophyta; Magnoliopsida; Poales; Poaceae
Description: partial small subunit ribosomal RNA
Source: RNAcentral